UGUGAGGAGAUUCCCUUUCAGACAACUUUGCUGAAAGCAGCUUGGAAAUUCGGUGUCGAAGGGUCUGCCACGUUUUCAUGCUUGCAUUUUGGGCUCCAAAUUGGCACUGGGAAGGGGUUACUGAGAGCACAAGGCUGAUACCAGGCCCUACUUUUAAACGUUCAUCUACUUACAAUCCUAGUAUUUCUCUAAAAACCAAAACCUCUUUGAAUUAACAGUUUCAUGCUGUGAAUUUCUAGUGGGAGAUCUUUUCCUUGAUAUUGACGACACAAUUUUCCAUGUACUUUUAAAGCAGGGAGUGGGGAAAAGUAUUUUGAGGGGACAUUUUCAUCAUCAGUUCAGCUUUUUUUUUUUGGUUGUUGCUCUUUUUUGGGGGGGUUGGGUUUGUUGGUUUCACUGAAACAUUUAACUACCUGUAAAAUCUAAACAUGGCUGUUAGUGUCACACCAAUUCGGGACACAAAAUGGCUAACACUGGAAGUAUGUAGAGAGUUCCAGAGGGGGACUUGCUCACGGCCAGACACGGAAUGUAAAUUUGCACAUCCUUCGAAAAGCUGCCAAGUUGAAAAUGGACGAGUAAUCGCCUGCUUUGAUUCAUUGAAAACAGUUGAUGGUGCACUCGUAGCUGCAAAAUGAAGGACAUUAAAUUUGGCUGUGACAUUGAGUGGUUACACAGAAGACCUGCUUCUACAACAUUUGGAAACAUUGUGAAACAUUACUAUUCAGUUGCUAUUUUUCCAUCUCAAAAUAUUUUUUUUUAGUUGCUGCUCACUUAUGGCCACAGAACAGUCCCUUUUUGAGUAAAGCAGCAAGGUUGCUUAAUGACAUGCUAUGUGGUUAACAAGAUUCAACUGCCACAUCAAGGACUUUAAAUAAUUUCAAGAUUUUAAAUGUAUUUAUGAAAUGAACUCAUUACAGCAGCUAAUCAAUGCAAACUUUGUCCUUUUUCUUUGUCUUUCUAAGAGAAACUGAAUUUAAUUUAAAUUUAAAUUACAGUGUCUAAAACUUGGUAAAAUAUUUUAAAUUUGAAU
Molecule: long non-coding RNA, 1030 nt
Filed under: Homo sapiens (human)
Lineage: Eukaryota; Metazoa; Chordata; Mammalia; Primates; Hominidae
Description: HSALNT0062364
Source: RNAcentral